Molecule: microRNA precursor, 81 nt
Filed under: Nomascus leucogenys (northern white-cheeked gibbon)
Lineage: Eukaryota; Metazoa; Chordata; Mammalia; Primates; Hylobatidae
Description: miRNA (ENSNLEG00000027597.1)
Source: RNAcentral
GUAUUAGGUUGGUGCAAAAGUAAUUGCAGUUUUGCAAUUACUUUUAGUGGCAAAAACUGCAAUUACUUUUGUGCCAACCUA